RNAcentral lists this ribosomal RNA (253 nucleotides) under uncultured bacterium. RNAcentral's name for it is "partial 16S ribosomal RNA". It matches the Rfam family "Bacterial small subunit ribosomal RNA", at positions 524 to 776 of the family's 1533-position model. The record is from RNAcentral.
UACAGAGGGGGCAAGCGUUAUUCGGAAUUAUUGGGCGUAAAGGGCGCGUAGGCGGCUUGGCAAGUGGAUGGUGAAAUCCCUCGGCUUAACCGAGGAACUGCCGUCCAAACUGCUUCGCUUGAGACCGGGAGAGGUGAGUGGAAUUCCCAGUGUAGCGGUGAAAUGCGUAGAUAUUGGGAGGAACACCAGUGACGAAGGCGGCUCACUGGACCGGUACUGACGCUGAUGCGCGAAAGCGUGGGGAGCAAACGGG